This is a long non-coding RNA of Felis catus (domestic cat), 5475 nucleotides long. RefSeq lists it as uncharacterized. Lineage: Eukaryota; Metazoa; Chordata; Mammalia; Carnivora; Felidae. The transcript is spliced from 9 exons. The record is from RefSeq and is a predicted model, not a curated record.
UUGAGCUCUGUGGGCUUCUUGCCUAUGGGCAAGUGAGACUAAGCCGUGACGUCGACGUUGCCCUGGCAACCUAGGGACACUCUUGGAGUUGUUGGACCGCCCAACCCGUGACUUGCGCUCUGUAAAGUCGUGACCUGUGUGUGCGGAAAAAACCUAAAAUGAGCCUGGUUUAAGAGCUACCACAGGUGCUGGACUCUUCUAGAAAACCUGUCGCGUCGGUUUGGUCUCCUUUAUAACACCGUUAACUGGUUGGAAUAUACCAAUAAAUAUGCUGUUACUGCUCAAACAAACCACUUCCUUGUGUUGCCAUCUUCAAUCAAAAUGUAGACUGCUAUAGAUAACUUGGAAAACACAGAAAACAACAACAAAAAGGUCAUCUGUGAUCAUGCCCUAGAGAGAACUACUUUUGAUAUUAAGCUGGGGAGGAUGAAGAUCUAGCACCACACACUAUCUUCUUAUCUUCCCAUUCUGCUUUCAACAUAAACCAGAGACCAUUAGGAACACAGCUGAAAGCAAGUUAAAUUUAUUAUUUUCUGCAACAAAGAAGACCCUACAUCAUAGAGAGCAAAGACAAUAUCAAACAGUCAGAAGUCCUGCUAGGCUAAUAGCUGGUCAUGUGAUCAAGUUUGGAAUCAAUAUAACAGGCCUCUGUAACUGCUGCCAGCAGUUUCUGAUUCAUCAAAGACAUCACUCUCAAGGCUGGUUGGUUGGCCAGAGUUUCUCAUCAAGGAGUACAUGCUGUUUGCUCCCCAGAUGGACAGCCUGGAUGAGCUACAAAUCCACAGAGCCUGGGACACAAGAAAUUCCAAUUCUCAACAAAUGCUGCAAGUAGGUCAAACCUUCACUGGAAAACCAGGUUGGGUUGCAGACACCAGAUGACAGGAGGGGCAGUGACAGAUUGGAGUGACCCAGAGUACCGGAACAAUGAUGGCAAACCUAACAAGUCAGUUCCAUAACAUGUUUGCCACGGAGAGGGAGGAAAAGGAAGUCAAUGUGAGGACACCCCCAGACAAGAUUCCAUGUCCUCUCCUCUGGAGCCACAGCAUUCCUGUGAACACACCCUGCUCAGCUCUGUGUGACUUGGGACAGUUACAAAGCCACUCAGAGAUUUAAUUCCUUCUUUCAUGAAAUGGAUGUAAUAUACAUAUCUUUCAAGUUUCUCUGGAGGAAUGGCAUAAAGUUACAUAAAGUCAUGGUCUUACUCCUGUAUGCUCAGUGGAUGGGGUUUAAUAAAUAUUUCUUAUAUCUGAAUCUGAAUGUCAAAGCCUCAUGCUGGGGUGGGUGAUAGAGAGAGACAGCUCUUGCUCUUUGGGGUUAGAGUAUCUCCUGGUAGAGGAGAUUACCUCUCCUCUGAGACAGAUGACUCAGCAGCCCUCUGUGAGCCCACUGCCUACCGGACACAGUGACUGAGUGCUGAGGAAAGCAAUGAAUAAAAGAACCCCCUCCCCCCAUGGAGCUUAUGGCCUAGACAGGGACAUUCAAAUAAACAAAUUACCAUCCAGAUGCUAAGGGAAACAACUAAAUCAUGCACAGGGGAGAGAGAUAACACACAGAAAAAGUAAGGCCAUGGGUUAAUCUGGCCUGCUGCCUGUUUCUGUAAAUAAAAUUCAUUGGAACACAUCUAUGUUCAUUUGUUCAUGUAUUGUCUUCAGCCACUUUUGCCCUGAAGUGGCAGAGUUGAGUAUAGCCUGUUGUGUUUUAACAUGGUACAUGUUCCUAAAAAUUACUACCCUAUGCAAGAUUGUGCAAUAACAUCCACAGACCGUAUGGGGAAAAUGGCAUUGUGGGCAACACUCAAACAGUCAGGGACAAAUAUUAAAAAUCGAUAGGAAGCUGAUAAAGAUGGCAUCACUAUGUUACACCUGUUAAAUGGUUAAGAAACAUAUACCACAAUAAACAUGGAAGUUGACCUUGAAAAAGACGUGGCAUCUUCCAGCAGGGCUUCAGCCUGUGCGCUAUUCAGCGGUAGAGGAGGGUCAUCUGAAAUCUGAUGGGAAGCGGUAGCGCCCGGCAGGCGGGAGGGGGGUGGGGGACGAUACAGCUCACAGCAGCCCUGGUGACCUGGAGCAGACGGUGGAUGUUUGAGGUACGUGUGUGUGCGUGUUUUGCGUGUUCCUGGGUGUCUUGUUUCAGCGGGAUGCAGUUUUCCAUCGUCACCUAGUGUUUCUCAUGGAGGAAACUGUACUUAAACAAGAAAUUUGUGUCAUGCUUCUAUUGUUCCCCAAUAUAUUAAUCACUCUGGGACAAAUUCAUGUUUCUGAAACAAGUGUUAUUGAUUGUUGUUGCAACAGAGACCAUAUGGCCCACAAAUCCUAAAGGACAUACCAUUUAGCCCUUUCUGGAAAAUGUUUACUGACCUCUGGCACAGAGGAAGGAGGGGUUAAUGCUGAGGUAUCAGGAAGGUUCCCGGAGGGUGUCAUGUCAUGUCUGAAGAGGAGAAGUAUGACAGGGUGACACAGGGGAACAGGAACAUUUUGCCAUUUUUAUUGUUAUUCCUUCUCCCAUCCUAUAUGUGCAUUUCUUCAUCCCUGCCUCCUUUCCCAGGAGUGCAGCUUUUCUGAGUUUUAUACAGAGGGAACUAAGUGUGGGUCAGAAAAUGCUUCUUUGAUUUAAGAACACUGAAAGUCAUUUUUUGCCCCCAAAAUACUUCUCCCAGCCCUCAUCUUGGAAAGACAUGGCCUUGGUAAUCCCUUCCUUGUGGUAAAGCAAAUAGAGUGGCUCAUCAGUGUCAUUAUUACUAAGUUACAAAGUCCUCCCAUUUACCACCCACUGUGUGGGGUCUGACUCCUUUCCUGAGGUCUGGCCCCAUCAGACCUUUGCUGCUUCAUAUCCCAGAACCACAUUUAACUACUCUCUAUUUCCCUCUGAGAGUUAUGCAUCUGAUUAGAGAUAUACACAAGUGUUUCACAGAGAUGGGCUGGUUCCCACCAGCAAGAUGGUUAUAAUGUAAUUAAAUAGUUGACUUAGGGAAAAAAGAAAGGUGGGUCAAUCAGAAAGAGGUAGGUCAUGAAGAAAAGUCAUAUCAUGAAGAAAAGAAAAAGUCAUGAAGUAAAGAAAAAGGAAAGAAGGCAUCUUGGUCCUCUGUACUUGCUAGAGGAAACUUAUGUGCAUAAUUACCCUCAUGUCAGAAAACAAUCACAUUACAUAACUCUCCUUGGUCUGUUUUCACAAUCAUUAACUUUUUGAUUAUGAUUUGCUUUCAGGGAAGAUUUAUGAUGGCCAUUCUGAUGUGAUUACAGUAAUCCAAGUACUGCUCAAAGGAAGCAAUACAUUGACCAUUUGCUAUUAUACAUCAGGCUACUGAGUGUGGUUAAUGUGAAUCUACCCUGAAUACUAGCUCCACUCUCAGGCUCCUGAAUAAAUCAGUUUUCUGGGCCUUCAAAGUGGAGGACUGGGUUGGGCUCUAGCAAACACAUAAAGAAUGUCCAUUCCCUAUAAGCCUCCCCCUUGCCUACAAUGCUCUUGCUUGUCACUUUUGCAUCUUUGGAUCAAGGCCAGUAAGUGGGACUUUUAUGACUCCCUUUUCCUCCAUUCUCAGCCAGUGUUGUUUUCUCUGGCCUUUGAAACUUCAUAGCACUUUAUUUAUACAAAUCUGUCUUAGAACCUUAUAAUAUUUUAUCUUGCAUUACAGUUAUUUGCCUCGGGCCUUCUCUUUGCUUAAACUUAACACUCUGAGAAGGCAGACUCUUAUUUUUCUUUGUGUGUCCCAAUGCACCCAGCACAGCAAAGUGCUGAAUGAACUAGAAGCAUCCUGAGAGAAUUGAUAAGCAUGCCGAUGUGUGUGUAUGUGUAGGUGUUGAGAGGUUGUAUGUGGAGCAAAGAGAUUUUGCUGAGGGAGGAUAUGCCCAGUCCUAAUGUCAUAUGGCAUGGGAGGGCAAAAAACUAGUUAAACACAGAAGAAGAGUCCAGGUCCCUGGAGUAAGGGCUACUAUUGUAGACACUGUUUGAAGCACCUUGCACACACCAUCUCCCUUUUCAUCUUAAUGAUCCUACGAUGCAGGUGAGGUUUACUCUCCCAAUUUUAUAGUUGAGGAAACCGAGGCUCAGAGAGAUUAAGGAACUUGCUCAACAUCAAGUAGGUAUUAGUGCAGCUGGCUCCAUGCUCCAUCUUCUUGACUGUCAUGCAAAAGUGUCCUGCCCUAGCUUGACCUUGGACCAGCACCACAUAAAAGGAGGGCGGCUUAACAAACACCAUUCAACAGGUCAGUGGCAGAUGAAUAAAAAGGAAAAGGACUCUGGGGUUCAGACUACCAGUGCAUUUCCCAUGGACUACUGUGGAGAUGUGUCCUGCAGGAUGAACUUUGACCCUGAGCCACACCUGUAUGCCAUCUUGCAUCAGCCCUUACUUCUAUGUAAGAGCACCUUCGUCCAGGCCCCAGGGCUCACUAGGGCUAUCUUUGGAAAUAAAACCUGCAGAGUAAUGUCCGUGAGUGGGUUAACUUAAAGAACAGUGAGCUCCAUGCCCCUGGAAAUAUCCAUGCAGAGUGACCAUGCCUGAGUCACGGGAAUGUUUGGCAGGAAGAACAUGUGGGUGGGGAGGGAGAACUCUAUGAUCUCUUUUACAAAUGAUUUGAAAGAUCUAAGAGCCUUUGAUCUCAUCCCCCCCCCCCCCCCCUUUGUUUCCCUUACAAAAAAGCUACAGAGAAAAUGGGGCUAAGUGUCAUGCCAUGGAAAGAGAAGUGGACAAUGAUCUGGAGGUGGGCUGGUCCUACUGAGCUACUGGUGGCUCCUUAGGUGACUGAGGGGAGAAGGUGGCCGCAACUUAGCCAGCCUUUUCUUAUUUGCAACUAGGGAUAAACUGUCUUUCUUAUCUGACAAGAUAUCUUUGGAGAACAUCAGAUUAUAGGUGUGAAUGUGUUUUGAAAAAAUUGUGGAAAAGGCAACAUGGCAUAUUCCGAGUCUUUUUUUUUUUUUUUAGAGAGGGCGAUUUUAAAAAGCCAUUCUUACAACAUGACUUGAAGGUCAUUUGAAAUCAAAAUGGCAUAGAGGUCCCUAACUUUCACAUUCAGUUGGAACUCCCUCCUCUUCUUUCUUUAAAUGCCUGUAGCAGGCUGAUUAAUGCCCUCUGCCAAGAGGUCCACAUCUUUACUCCUUGGAACAUGACUUAUGUGGCAAAACAGAUUUUACAGAUGCGAUUAAGUUAAUAAUCUUGGCAUGGGGCAAUUCUCCUGGAUUACCUGUAACCACCAGGCUUGUCAUAAGAGGGAGACAAGAAGGUCAAAGGCAGGAGGAGGAGAUGGGACAAAUGGAGCAGAGGUUGGAGUGAUGUACUUUGAAGAUGGAGGAAAAGGCCAUGAGCCAGGGAAUGCAGGUGGCUGGUAGAGGCUGGAAAAGACAAGGAAGCAGAUUCUCCCCAUGAAGUCUCCAGAAGGAGCACAAUCUUGCCAACACUUUGAUUUAGGCUUCUGACCUCCAGAUCUGUAAGAAAAUAAAUUUGUGUUGUUUUAAGCCACUAAAUUUGUGGCAGUUUGUUAC